RNAcentral lists this ribosomal RNA (2708 nucleotides) under Hyphomicrobium sp. 32-62-53. Its description in RNAcentral is "bacterial LSU rRNA". It matches the Rfam family "Bacterial large subunit ribosomal RNA". Lineage: Bacteria; Pseudomonadati; Pseudomonadota; Alphaproteobacteria; Hyphomicrobiales; Hyphomicrobiaceae. The record is from RNAcentral.
GAGUGAUCAAGUGACAAAAGGGCAUCUGGUGGAUGCCUUGGCGGUAAGAGGCGAUGAAGGACGUGGUACGCUGCGAUAUGCUGUGGGAAGGUGCGAACAACCGUUGAUCCACAGAUCUCCGAAUGGGGCAACCCACCUUCGAUAACUAGAACUUCUAGACCGGACGAUGCGGGCUUGCUCGUGUUUUCCGGUUUCGGAUUUCUGGUUAUCAAAUGAAGGUAUUUGAUCCUGAAUACAUAGGGAUUAAAAGCAAACCCAGGGAACUGAAACAUCUAAGUACCUGGAGGAAAGGACAUCAACCGAGACUCCGCAAGUAGUGGCGAGCGAACGCGGACUAGGCCAGUGCUUCAACAAGGACAACUGGAACCAUCUGGAAAGUUGGGCCUCAGCGGGUGACAGCCCCGUACAGGUAAUGCCAAGUUGAAGACUCGAGUAGGGCGGGACACGUGAAAUCCUGUCUGAACAUGGGGGGACCACCCUCCAAGCCUAAGUACUCCUUACCGACCGAUAGCGCACCAGUACCGUGAGGGAAAGGUGAAAAGCACCCCGACUAGGGGAGUGAAAUAGAACCUGAAACCGGAUGCCUACAAACAGUCGGAGCCCGCAAGGGUGACGGCGUACCUUUUGUAUUAUGGGUCUGCGACUUAGUCUGACGAGCAAGCUUAAGGCGAUAGCUGUAGGCGAAGCGAAAGCGAGUCUGAACAGGGCGUUCAGUUCGUCGGAUUAGACCCGAAACCAGUCGAUCUUGCCAUGGACAGGCUGAAAGCAGGGUAACACCUGCUGGAGGGCCGAACCGGUGUCUGUUGAAAAAGCCUCGGAUGAGCUGUGGCAAGGGGUGAAAGGCCAAUCAAGGCUGGAAAUAGCUGGUUCUCCGCGAAAUCUAUUUAGGUAGAGCCUCAGACGAAUACCCCAGGGGGUAGAGCACUACAUGGGCUAGGGGUCCCCACAGGAUUACCAAACCUAAGUAAACUCCGAAUACCUGGGAGUACUAUCUGGGAGACACACGGCGGGUGCUAACGUCCGUCGUGAAAAGGGAAACAACCCUGAUCGCCAACUAAGGUCCCCAAGUCAUAGCUAAGUGUGAAAGGAUGUGGGAACCCCAUAACAACCAGGAUGUUGGCUUAGAAGCAGCCAUCAUUUAAAGAAAGCGUAACAGCUCACUGGUCUAAUUAAGGGUUUCUGCGCCGAAAAUGUAUCGGGGCUAAAGCUAUGCACCGAAGUUGCGGGCACGAAAGUGCGGUAGCGGAGCGUUCCGUAAGCCUGUGAAGGGAUACCCGUGAGGGGUCCUGGAGGUAUCGGAAGUGCGAAUGCAGACAUGAGUAACGACAGGAGUGUGAGAAACACUCCCGCCGAAAGUCCAAGGGUUCCUGCGUAAAGCUAGUCUGCGCAGGGUUAGCCGGCCCCUAAGGCGAGGGCGAAAGCCGUAGUCGAUGGGAACCACGUUAAUAUUCGUGGGCCAGUGGGUGUGUGACGGAUGCUGUGUGUUGUCUUCCCUUAUCGGAUUGGGAGGGCAGCGAAGGUGUCCCAGGAAAUAGCCCCCACGUAGACCGUACCCGAAACCGACACAGGUGGACUGGUAGAGUAUACCAAGGCGAUUGAGAGAAGUGUGCUGAAGGAACUCGGCAAAUUACCUGCGUAACUUCGGGAGAAGCAGGCCAUCAGUUUGGGCAACCAGACUGGUGGGGCACAGACCAGGGGGUGGCGACUGUUUACCUAACGGCCGUAACUAUAACGGUCCUAAGGUAGCGAAAUUCCUUGUCGGGUAAGUUCCGACCUGCACGAAUGGCGUAACGACUUCCCCACUGUCUCCAGCACAUGCUCAGUGAAAUUGAAUUCCCCGUGAAGAUGCGGGGUUCCUGCGGUUAGACGGAAAGACCCCGUGCACCUUUACUGUAGCUUUACACUGGCAAUCGUGUUUGCAUGUGUAGGAUAGGUGGUAGGCUAUGAAGCAGGGGCGCCAGCUCCUGUGGAGCCGCAAUGUGAAAUACCACCCUUAUGAACAUGGUUGUCUAACUGCGAGCCGUCAUCCGGCUCCAGGACAAUGUAUGGCAGGCAGUUUGACUGGGGCGGUCGCCUCCUAAAUGGUAACGGAGGCGCGCGAUGGUGGGCUCAGGUUGGUCGGAAAUCAACCGUCGAGUGCAAUGGCAUAAGCCCGCCUGACUGCGAGACUGACAAGUCGAGCAGAUACGAAAGUAGGUCAUAGUGAUCCGGUGGUUCUGUGUGGAAGGGCCAUCGCUCAACGGAUAAAAGGUACGCCGGGGAUAACAGGCUGAUGACGCCCAAGAGUCCAUAUCGACGGCGUCGUUUGGCACCUCGAUGUCGGCUCAUCACAUCCUGGGGCUGGAGCUGGUCCCAAGGGUAUGGCUGUUCGCCAUUUAAAGUGGUACGUGAGCUGGGUUCAGAACGUCGCGAGACAGUUCGGUCCCUAUCUGCCGUAGGUGUAGGAGAAUUGAGAGGAUCUGACUCUAGUACGAGAGGACCGAGUUGGACGCACCUCUGGUGGACCUGUUGUCGUGCCAACGGCACAGCAGGGUAGCUAUGUGCGGACGGGAUAACCGCUGAAGGCAUCUAAGCGGGAAACCCACCUCAAAACAAGUUCUCCCUUGAGAGCCGUGGAAGACCACCACGUUGAUAGGCCGGGUGUGGAAGCGCUGCAAAGCGUGUAGCUUACCGGUACUAAUAGCUCGAUCGACUUGAUUACUCUCAUU